Non-coding RNA from Lactuca sativa (garden lettuce), 736 nucleotides. The record is from RefSeq and is a predicted model, not a curated record. Lineage: Eukaryota; Viridiplantae; Streptophyta; Magnoliopsida; Asterales; Asteraceae.
UCGAGAACUAUAUGUAUACAGUAAUUAAGAACCGAAUCCAUCUUUUCCCCCUCUUAUCUUAUUUCAUUUCAUUCCCCCAAAUUCCACUCGAAUUGAGACCCUUUUUGAUACCACUCUCAUAACCUAAAUUCAGUCGGCUACCAUCACCAUUCAACAUCGCAGGUUUUUUCCUUUCUUUCGAGUUAGAUUCCGGCCGCCCCCACCCCUAAAAUUGUCGAUUCCGCCCACUCCCAUCCACAAUAUCGGGAGAUUCAAAGGGUUAUGAACAAAAACCGAAGGAGAUCUGUGUUCCAACAUCAUCGAUUCCAACCAUUAAGGUUCUUCAUCACAUGAUCGCAUCCAGGUUUUCAUUUUGAAAGUUUUGAUUUUUAAUAAAGGGUUGAAUUUGUAUAUUGCAGCCAUUGUCGAAACCCCUAUAAAAAGUGCAGAUAAAGAGGUUCACCAAGUUUGCCAUUUCUAAUCAACAUCUCAAUAAAGUUCAAUUCAUAUUUCCUUUGAUGAAAGGUACUGGUUAACAAAUCCAUGAGGAGAUGAAAAAAGAGAUUUAGAGGGAUCAUUAAGAAAGUGAGGUCAAAAAACAAUAAAUUGGCAGGAUGUAUAACAAAAUCAUAAAGCCAAGAAAACAACCCACCCAUCAAAUUUGACUUUGAUAUUUUUAGUUUUAUUUUGUUAAAUUUAUUACUUUGAAAUCAAAUAUGAUUCUUCAUUUUGCUAGGAGAAUAUUAUGUUAGAAAUA